Molecule: ribosomal RNA, 534 nt
Rfam family: Archaeal large subunit ribosomal RNA
CAUUCAAGAAAACCCUAUCAACUUUAACGUUAACCUUACACCAGAACAUUCCAGGAAAGAUUAAAAAAGAGAGAAGGAACUCGGCAAAUUUUAGCCCCGCCUGUUUACCAAAAACAUCACCUCUUGACAUAAUAUAAGAGGCCCAGCCUGCCCGGUGACAAAGUUUAACGGCUACGGUACCCUGACCGUACGAAGGUAGCAUAAUCACUUGUUCCUUAAAUAGGGACCUGUAUCAACGGCAUCACGAGGGCUGCACUGUCUCCUCUCUUCAAUCAGUGAAACUGAUCCCCCCGUGAAGAAGCGGGGAUUAAGCUAUAAGACGAGAAGACCCCAUGGAGCUUUAAACACGUACUCACACUAUACUUACAUGCCCCUUAACUAAAAGCCCUGAGUACAAGUUUUAGGUUGGGGAGACCGCGGAGAACAACUAAACCUCCACGACAAACGGCCCUUAAGUCCUUAUCUACGAGCCACAGCUCUAAGAAUCAAUAUACUGAUGAUUAUGACCCGAUACUAUUCGAUUAACGAACCAAG